GGCUGGUAUGAACGGCAAGACGGAAGUUUAACUGUCUCUCUUUUAGGGUCCUGAAUUUAUCAUCUUUGUGAAGAGGCGAAGAUAAGAUCGUAGGACGAGAAGACCCUGUCGAGCUUAAGCUAUGGGUUAGAGUUUCAAAGUUUUUGUUUCUAAGCUAAUUUAUUAUUAAAUUGGUUUUACUUAGGGUAAAAAUUUACUGCUAAUAAGUUGUUUUGGUUGGGGCAACCACGGAGAAGACAAAUCCUCCGCUAGAAAACUAAAGAAAAACUUAUUAUUUUAGAAGAUCUUUAGAUUAAUAAAUGAUCCACUAGAAAGUGAUCAAAAGAACAAGUUACCGCAGGGAUAACAGCGUAAUUUUUUUGGAGAGUUCAUAUUGAUAAAAAAGUUUGCGACCUCGAUGUUGGAUCGGGACUUCCUGGGGAUGCAGCAGUUUCCAAGGGUUGGUCUGUUCGACCAUUAAAGUCCU
RNAcentral lists this ribosomal RNA (466 nucleotides) under Asteroidea sp. RCMBAR907. RNAcentral describes it as "partial 16S ribosomal RNA". It matches the Rfam family "Bacterial large subunit ribosomal RNA", at positions 1985 to 2597 of the family's 2925-position model. Lineage: Eukaryota; Metazoa; Echinodermata; Asteroidea. The record is from RNAcentral.